This 3081-nucleotide long non-coding RNA is filed under the name Heterocephalus glaber (naked mole-rat). Its description in RNAcentral is "lncRNA (ENSHGLG00000046932.1)". Lineage: Eukaryota; Metazoa; Chordata; Mammalia; Rodentia; Bathyergidae. The record is from RNAcentral.
GGCUGCCCUGCACUGGCCGCAGCGCUCUCCCUGCGGCUCUGCCUCCUGCGCCUCGCACUCUGCGCCUCGUUGCUCCUUUUCCGUGCACCCGAAUUUUCUUCCUCUUUCCCUCCCCUCACUUUCAUUCUCCCUCCGUUCCUGAAGCAGCCAGUCAAAGCAUAUUUUUCUUGAUCACAGUUCUUUCAAAAAACCCCCCACAAAAUUCCUUUUGCUUUAGCCUUUUAAGGCCUUUGGUGUUGUUCUGCUUUGUUUUCUUGCUUUGCUUUUAAAGUAUGAUUUUUUGCUUUUUCUCUGGCCUCGGCACUGUGCUCGUGGGGCUUUAUGGAGCUGCGGCAGUGCCUGGGGUGUGAGUUGGUGGCUGCUGUGUGGCCUGGCCUCGCAGCAGCGGCCCCCACCUUGCUCAGCAGCGCCAGACAGUUCGGUCCACCGUGUGUGCGACAGUGGUCUCUAAGGUCACAGGACCCCUGUGGCCUGGCGCCGGCGUGGCGUGUCAGCCCACGUGUGCGCUCUGUGAUGUCAGGACAGGCAGGUCGCCCGGCACACGUUUCUCAGACUCUGUCCUCCUCUGUGCCCACCAGUGACUGAAGUGUCGCGUGCAGCCUGUGGGACACACGUCAUCCACUCACUUCGGGCCAUCCCCGACUGCCGAGACCUCUGCUGCGUGUAGAUGAUGCAGUUGGAGAAGUGUUUUAAUCAUCACAGAAGCCGCUUCUCGUGGGAGCGUCAGCAGAGCAUCAGUGUCCCCAGCACUCACUACAUCCUCACUUGGAACUUGAGUUUGGUGUCAUCGUCCCAGCGCUCUGGGAAGCUGAGACAGGAGGGUGCCAAGCCUGAGUCCAGCCUGGGCAGCUUAGCAGCUCAGCAAGCUGGGGUCUCAAAAUCAGAAACAGCUGGAGGUGUAGUACAGGGAAAGGUCCUGCAUUCAGUCCCAGCACCACACACACACACAUGCACACACAGUAGAGUGUCAGUCACUGUGACCGUCAUGAGUGACCCUGGAGCUGCGAAUGGUGACACCGCAGAUGGCACUGCUGCCCGUCCCAGGGGUGCCAGGCAGGGCUGUGGGGUCUUGGCUGGGUCCCCCAGGGUCAGCCGGCUGUCGGUGCCCACCCUUCCUGCCUCUGCGUCCCCAGGAGAGGAUGGAGCCCAGCAGCCACCCGAAGCUGCCGUCCACGGCUCAGCGCCCAGGUCGGAAUUCCUUCUAGAACCCUCUACACAAGGACCACAGAACCAAAUGUGUUACUUCUGUUUUUAUUGCCUCUGCUCUAAAGCAGGCUUUGGAUAGUCUAAAUGCUUCAGAAGAAGUUGCUACUUCUGGAUGACAUUGACCUUGGGGUGCAUCGUGAAAGGCUUAAGAAAACAAACUUCUUUUCUCAGAUCAGUUGACUACUCGUGUAAGUCAGUCUCUUGGGCCCUUUCUUAGGACUCAUCAGCCUAUGAGCCUUUUUUGUAACCAGUAUUACACUGAUUGGUUUGGGGUUUUUUCUUGUUACUGAUUUUUGUUUUUUGUUUUUACCUGGUGGUACUGGGACUGAACUCAGGGCUUUCACACUGAGCUACAUCCUUUUUUUCCAUUUUAUUUUUUAUUUUGAGAUAGAAUCUUACUAAAUUACCAAGUUGCCUAAACUGGGCUUCAAUGUGCGGUCCUCCUGCCUCAGCCUCCCGGAGUGCAGCCCAACCCCCAGCAGUACCGCCCUGUCGGGGUCGCUGCAGCUCUGUGGUGAGUGUUAAAGUUGGAAGUGACCAUCCCCCAGCUUUGUUCUUCAGUACUGGGCUGGCUAUUUUGGCUCUUGGGCCUCCACGUAGACGUCAGAUUCAUGUGCUGGCACCCACAAGAACCCCUGCUGGAAUUACGCGUGGUGUCGUGUUGCGUCUCUAGACCAAGACGGGAAAGGCAGCCAUCUGGCCAUUCUAGAGCCUUCCCGUGCAGUGACAUGGUUCCUCUUCUGGUUACUUAGCCCUCCUCUGGUUCAUUUCUUCAGAAUGACGUAGCUUUGUCAUAGAAACCUUGUCCAUAUUUUGUUAGAGUCAUACCUGAGGAUUUCAUUUUGGGCGUGCUAAGGUAACUGGUACUGCAUUUUUAUUUCAAAUUGUACUUCUCCACUGCUGGUAUAUAGGAAAGCAAGGACUUCCUUGUGUUGAUCUUGGAUCCUGCAGCCUUGCCGCGAUCACUUACAAUGUCACUAUCAUAGGAGACAGGGCAGGAGCGGACAGUGUUACGGGACAGCCAGGGAAGCCUGCUGCAUAAUCUGGAAGAGUAGUGACUCUCUUGGCUGUAACCAUGUUCUGGGUGCGUAGGCAGCUGCUUUUGUUCUUAGCAGACAGACUCUCAAGUCUUCAGGGAUAAAGUCUGCAAGUGACUCUCAAGAGGUUGAGGGAAAAAAUGUGUAUAAGUGUGUGUGUGUUUGGGGGGGGUGUCCACACAUGUAUGUGUGUGUAAAUGAGAGGGAAGAAGAAAGGGAAUAUGACAAGAUAUUAACUGCUGUGUUUGUUGUCUAGGUAAAGAGUAUGUGGUGCUCAUCGUAUUUUUCUUGACGCUUUUAAAAAAUUACAAAUGAUCUAAAAAGCCCGAGUGUUUCUUUCUUGCAGGUUUUGUGAAGGUGUGAAAUUUUAAGUUUUAAUUUAACAUUUAAAAAUAAAAGGCCACUUACCCUGUCUUGUUGCCGUAGGUAAAAUCCCUAACCCUGUUCGUCACCCAUUACCCACCGCUGUGCGAGCUGGAAAGGAGCUACCCGGGCCAGGUGGGGAAUUACCACAUGGGCUUCCUGGUGACCAAGGACGAAGGCCAGGCAGGUCCAGGUAGGCGAGGUCCUGGGCUGGCAGCGCGUGCCCGUGGUUGCCGGGGUUGUGCGAGUAGAAGCCCACUGCUCAUGCACAGUGUGGUGCCAGCCACAGGUAACACUGUUCGCACUCAUGUUCACACUUGCUCCACCCUCGGUCAGGAGGGAUGCACCCCUCUGCCAUCACCAAGUCCUGCCUGAGCUCCUUCUCCUGUCCAUCCCAGCAGAGCUCCGCUGGCCCCCUUUCUUUGUAAUAAGAAGCAGUGAUUUCCAAGCUAUAUACAAUAAAUUGCCCCCAAAA